RNAcentral lists this ribosomal RNA (468 nucleotides) under uncultured bacterium. Its description in RNAcentral is "partial 16S ribosomal RNA". It matches the Rfam family "Bacterial small subunit ribosomal RNA", at positions 28 to 507 of the family's 1533-position model. The record is from RNAcentral.
GACGAACGCUGGCGGCGUGCUUAACACAUGCAAGUCGAACGGAAAGGCCCUGCUUUUGUGGGGUGCUCGAGUGGCGAACGGGUGAGUAACACGUGAGUAACCUGCCCUUGACUUUGGGAUAACUUCAGGAAACUGGGGCUAAUACCGGAUAGGAGCUCCUGCUGCAUGGUGGGGGUUGGAAAGUUUCGGCGGUUGGGGAUGGACUCGCGGCUUAUCAGCUUGUUGGUGGGGUAGUGGCUUACCAAGGCUUUGACGGGUAGCCGGCCUGAGAGGGUGACCGGCCACAUUGGGACUGAGAUACGGCCCAGUCUCCUACGGGAGGCAGCAGUGGGGAGUAUUGCACAAUGGGCGGAAGCCUGAUGCAGCAACGCCGCGUGCGGGAUGACGGCCUUCGGGUUAUAAACCGCUUUCGCCUGUGACGAGGCGUGAGUGACGGUAAUGUGUAAAGAAGCACCGGCUAACUACGUG